CAAGGUUCGUACGCACUGCAGGAUUUCCGGCGUUGUCUCUCGUUGCACAGCGCGGGCAAGGGAAAGGCUCUUCUGGCCACCGUGCCAGAGGGUCUUAGCCUCGUGGUGGGGCGGUCCCAGCAUCCGACAUCGGUCACACUUACGGCGGCGGGGACCUGAGGCCGUGGGUCGCCAUAGCGCUGCUCGUGCUCCGUGAGGUCGCGCGCGAGGCAGAGUCUCUGUGGGCACCUUACCUCGUCAUCCUCCCACGCCAGACCGACUCAACCAUCUUCUGGAACACAGUUACUGGGCACAACAGUGGGUACUACCUCCCUGGCGCGGUCACCACCCCCUCCUCCGGCCGCGCCGCCGGCAUCAGCGAAGAGGAUUGCAGUAGUCUACUACCUCUGCCGCAACCGCCACCUCACGGCAAAAGUGAUACGGAAAGCUCGAAUUAAGCCGCCAUCAUGUGCUUCGCCGCCGUUAUUUAAAAAAUAAUAAAGAGCCCUUUGCAUCAAGGUUUAUAUUACUAAUAAUAUGACAUACAUGUCAUGACAGCGGUGACUACAACGGAAGUGCUACUUUAAAUAGUUAACGUUUAAUACCAACACUUUUUUACUUACCAAUAUAUCAUGUUUGCUGUUGCACAGGUUAAAUCUCAAAGGGGGAAAAAAGCAAAUUAAAGAGACAGUCCUUAGCUAGAUCAUAAAUAGAGUUCUACAAGGAAGGUGGACAUUAUCAAUGAAAAAGUAGUAUGACAAGGGAUACAGCUAGAAGAGCUAAAACUAAAGCUGCAGAAAGU
Molecule: long non-coding RNA, 781 nt
Organism: Phragmites australis (common reed)
Lineage: Eukaryota; Viridiplantae; Streptophyta; Magnoliopsida; Poales; Poaceae
Exons: 5
Source: RefSeq, a predicted model, not a curated record